This 253-nucleotide ribosomal RNA is filed under the name uncultured bacterium. RNAcentral's name for it is "partial 16S ribosomal RNA". It matches the Rfam family "Bacterial small subunit ribosomal RNA", at positions 524 to 776 of the family's 1533-position model. The record is from RNAcentral.
UACGUAGGCAGCAAGCGUUGUUCGGAGUUACUGGGCGUAAAGGGUGUGUAGGCGGUUCCUUAAGUUUGCUGUGAAAUCUCCCGGCUUAACCGGGAGGGUGCGGUGAAUACUGAGGGACUAGAGUACGGGAGAGGAAAGUGGAAUUCCUGGUGUAGCGGUGAAAUGCGUAGAUAUCAGGAGGAACACCGAUGGCGAAGGCAGGUCUCUGGGCUGACACUGACGCUCAUGCACGAAAGCGUGGGGAGCAAACAGG